AAUUACUUGUUCCACACCCAAGUUGUAUAACAGGAAGAGGUCUUGGACCCCUACUUCCCUCUCAUUUUUAAUAGUCCAUAUACUGUAGUCAUAAUUAUAGCUUUAAAGAGAUUUCAGAAGAACAUGGUGUUUCAGGUAGAAAUGCAUAUCAAGGUAAGUUAAUUUAUAGAUAUAUAAAGUACUGUCUAGAAAUAUAUUACAGUACUGCAAUUGGUACAUUAUAUUACAGAUAGAUAAAUGAAGAACAUAACAGUAGAUGCUAGGGUGUAAAAAAGAAAUCUAGUACAGUAUUGUUGAAUUUAGUUCACAUACCUGUUUUGGAAAAUUCAAGAUUUGGCCAAGGGAAUUUUACAUUAUGGAAUAUAGGAUUACAUAGAGGAUAGGCUCCUUGAAGGUGUCAACUUUUUGGAGAGGAAACUCAUGUGUUCUGUUCUUGGAUGGCUUUUGCUCAUCCCUACUCUUACAUGUGAGGAUAGCAUAAAAGUUAAGAUACCCACAAACUUUGCUCAUCAAGCUAAGGGUCCAUUUUGUAUGGAUGGUUUAGGGCAUUCAAGCUGGGGUACAAUAUCACAGGUAUUGCAAGUACAGUACCUGUCAAGUUGUGAUUUUCCUGGACCCUUUGUCAUCUUGCAACAGUCAGGUGCCAGUCAGCUCCAGGCUGUCAUAGUGAAUGGUUGUGUGCUGCAUUUUGCUAUGCCAUCCUACCUUGUUUUUACAUAUAUUUUAGUGGUGCUUAUGGUUGUAUAUUGUUAUGGGACCUACCAAGGAACUAAGCAAUGAAACCAUUGCUCAGAGCAUUGCUUUAAAGGAUGCAGGCCACCAAACUAAGGAAGUAACUCUAUUGGUCAGUGUGGCUAAGUCAGCGGUGAGAAAGAAUUGUGUACAGUUCAGGGAGGAAAACAGCAGUGAGAUGCCAUCACAAUAAACUUGGUCUGGGCAUCCCAGGAAGACCUUUUUAAUGUCUGUGAACAAUGUAAAAUGUUUGUUGGAGAGUACACCUCGUGUGACAGCAAGGGUAGUGAAAGAAUACAUCUUUAAAGUGUUUGGUGAAGUCUGUACAUACCAUAUCUCGCAACAUUUACAAUUUGGGUUUUACUAGCCAUAUGCUGGCAUCUUCCAACAGGACAAUGCACCUGCUCACACUGCCAAAUCUGUUACUAAGUGGUUUGAUGACUGCAUGGUACCCAUCAUUAAGGAUUGGCCAGAUAACAGUCCAAAUCUCAACUCAGUUGAGAAUCCCUGGCACAUGGUUAAGAGGGAUAUGGAGUGCAAAGAUGUCAGCUCCAUACCCAAGCUCGAGGAAGUCAUUCAUCAGUCCUGGGCAAACAUCUCGCUGAAACACUUACCCCGACAUCUCCAAGCUGUGAAGAAGAGAAAAGGCCACCCAACCAAGUAUUAAAAGUACAGGUGAGGAACAUGAAGUAGAGAGAGUCCCUGACACGACUGUUCAAGAGGCAGUAUCCCACCAGAAUAAAUACUGCAGUCAGGAGCGAGAAUACAGAGAAGAAGUAGUGGAGAAUUUCAAGGUCCUCUGAUACGGACAAGACGGCCAGGACCCAGGUGGCACCUAGCAGUGGUAGGAACAGAAUCCCUAACCACAGGAGAGUCCUAAAGAUUGCCAAAUCCUUCCACAUGACCUUUGAGCGUGAGUGAGGCACGGAUAGCCAUGACAAACACAAGGAGGAUAAUUAUGACAAUAGCACAGAUAGGCCCAACCAAUGCCCACACCACAGACUCAUAAAUGGACAACCAGCAGCUGCAGGAGGAAUGACAAAUAUUCCUCCAUCAGAGGUGUGGACAGCUACAGUAAAGACUGGGGAACGUACAGCUAAGCCAACGCCCCAUCGCUGCUCUACAUCCACAUCAUAAGUUUCAGGAAGUAAUAUGCCCAGAGAACGGAACACGACAUAGCUGACCACUGCACGAGUACUGCCCAGUGUGCCUGAGGUCGAGGUCUCAUCUGUUAUAAGGAACGUGUCUACAAAAUUAGUCUACUGCAUAUCAUAAACCAAUGCAAUUGUCUAUCACCUUGACAAUACUGUAUUAACACAAAAAUUAUAUUUAAGUUAAUUUUCAAAAGAGGGAACCAAAUAACACUUGGAUUUGACAUGUAUUGUAUAGUACAGUACAGUACUAAACUGUCCAGUUGACUCCCAAAUCUGUGUGGUCAUAAUCUGCAUUGUAAAUAAAGGACCAUUAAAUUACUUUAUGACUAAAAUUCACACUUACAUGUGUUUAAAUGGUGAUGCAAUUAGUGUGAUAAAUUUGAUUCAGUGGAGGCCCCACAUUGUUAGUCUGAGAACAGAUAUUAUCUUCUCAACUUUUAUGAGCAACUUUGACUCUGGUCCUGCUGUUUGGCAAGCCUGCACAGAUCUAGAGGACUAGUAGUACAGUAUUGUGGGUGUCUGUGUUACCAGAGCCAAUGUACUAGGGAGCUAAAUUGAGGUUUCCCAGAAAAAGGCAUUUCUGUUCAUUCAAUGCUUGAGUUUUAGAGAUCUUAAAAUUUCUUCACUUCACUGACAAUGAAACUUUGGAUGCAAAUGACUAAGUGGAAUAUCAGACAUGUGUUUAUGCAUAAAAAAACAGUAUUGAAUGUAAUGAAAGGCAAGUUUCUGGGUCAGUCCCAGAGGCUCCCUGAAGCUAUCGUCACUGAUUAAGUGCCAUACUACCUAAUGUCAGCAGUUGCAGAGUUCUUUUUGCCUACCGGGAACCAUGAUCCAGAACCUGGCCUCCCUCAGAGAGAUGCAGGGAGCGAUGGCCUAUGAUCACUUUACAUUUAAAGGAUAUUAUCUUUGCCAUCACUAGGGAAGACACCCAGAAAGAUAGGCAAAUCAAAACAAACCACUGCCUGGUUUAAAAAUAAACUGAAGCCCCAGAAUGCCAAAAGAACUCCCAAGAAGAAAAGAAACAACUAAAACUUAGUGAAGCUAGCCUCCCCCACUAGUUAGCUUCACUUUCCCCCUAAUUGGGGUAAAGGAGGGAGCUGGCCCGGGCAGGCUGGGCCAACCAACUUCCAGUUCUUUAACCCUUAAACUGCACACAUUGUAUAAACUGUAUACGAUUUGAGCAACCAAACCAUGCACAUUGUAAUAUACAACUGAGGAUGCCGUGCAUGAUUUAAAGUCUCGCACAGUAAAGGGGGCACCCAUAUGGUAGCCAAGGGCAAUAGUAAACAGAUGCCAUCUUAGAAAAAAAAUCCAGCGUAGGCCGCCAUUGUAUGAGGCCCCAAUUUCACGACAGACUCCAUGGCGAGCGCCAUGUACCAGCUGCUGACUGCGCUCAGCGCAUAUUUGUCCCAAUCUUUGACUGAGGAUGAAAUUCAUCAGGAAUUGUUCCAGGAGGGUGAGGAACCUGAUAUUAACAACUCGGACAUAGAUGAAGACUACACACCGUCCUCAGAUGUGGAUACGAGGGAUAUUGAAAGUGAACAUGUGGGUGCCACGAGGGUCAGGCAUAGGUCCUCAUUUGUGCCACCCUGCCCUCACUCGCCACCAAUUCGCACCCAACCACACAGUUCAUGUGUUACUUUGUCAGAUUAUUAUGUUUUGGUUGAUGAGUCUGUUGAAGGCAACUCAUUUUCUGGUUUUAGUGAUGUAAAUUCAGAGAAUAGUAUUACCAUGCCUGUUGCUAGUGCCACUGGUGUUACCAAGUGAUGUUUUGUCGGGUCAGCAGCAUCUCGCCCACUUAGCACCGCUGCAUGGCACCACAUGAAGACAAUGAGGAACCCUCAUCUUCAAGUAAAUUUCCAUCAUCGUUGGUUCCCAACCGUUACGGUAUCGACACCAUAGCCGGAGUGGGGAAUAGCGAUUCUUGCGCCUUCUAUGAUACCUGGUUGAUGUGGUUCUGGGAGUUCUUCUACUCCCAAAGCCUGGCCUGAGGCCAGGCUUGACUUGUGAGAGUUUGGUCCAACAGGCUGUUGCUUGGAGCGGCCUGCAGGCCAAUAUACCCACCACAGCCCGGUGGGUCCGGCACUCCUUGGAGAAAGUUAUCUAGUUUUCUCUUAAUUAAAGAUGUCCACGGUUGUCCCGGCAAUAUUUCUUAUACUCACUGGGAGGAGGAUGAACAACCGCGGAUUUCUGAUGUUUAUACAGUACCUGCACAUGGUCCAGUACAUGGACCUGUACUCCAACUCCCCGGUAUUGGGUGCAACGCAAGUAACGCCAUCUGUUGGUCGUGGCAUGGCAUCGGUAAAGGGCUCUGGUUUCCUGCCUCAGUUAGAAGGCGAGGUCGAUGAGGAUGACCUCCGGUGGGUGGUGUAUCAAGAUCAACGCCACCACACAGUCGGUCGACCCAAACAUAUAUCAACAAACUCGCCAAGUGAGGCAAAGCUCGUAAACCAACUUGAAUUUUUUGAAGAAAUUGAGCUCACAAACCAAAAAAUUUAAAGAAGGGGGGGGGGGUAUUCAUAAACCGAGGUUCCACUGUAUUUACAAACAGAAAAAUCAAACUAAUGUGAUAUACAUCAAUGAGAAAAUCCACUGGGACUGUGAAGUGACAUGAACCCAUGACCAAGGCAUUGCUAACCUCAUAUUUUACCACUGUACCACCACUGACUUGUUGAAAGUCUUACAACUGGAUUUUUACUGAAAUCACAGUAACUCUGGAGGUCCCUCCUGAAGCCAAUCCAAGUUUAACUUAAGACCUGCAAGCACUUGGGUGAAGGGUAAAGUAGUUCAACAUUGUACACCCCAACUUCAGAUACACACAAAUCUUCACCCGAGUGCUUGGGGGUCCUAUUUAAAACUUCGAUUAGCUUCAGGAGGGGCCUCUAGACUUACUUUGGUUUCAGCAGCAAUCCGGUUUUAAGACUUAACAAGUCAGUGGUGGUACAGUGGUAGAGUAUGUGGCUGACAAUGCCUUGGUCGCAUGUUUGGGUUGCCUCACAGCCCCGGUGGAUUAUCUCAAUCAUUAUUAUUAUUCCAUUUUGAAUUAAAUUCUUGGUCCUAGAACAAACCCUAUUUAUCUCACAAGAACCUAAACAAAACCUUGUGGUAUAAACUUACACUGGAGUCGAGGCAUUUAUAACAGUUUUGAUUUAGGAGUCAAAUGUACAGUAUUUAUAGCUGGCAAUGCCAUUUAAUGUUUCGUAAUAUUCACAACAGACGUUUGGACUUACCCUGCUUAACAUCUGGAAUGCCAACCAAUGAGAGAGGGAUGCGGAUAUUGGUGCUGUGGACCCAUGUCUGCUGGUUCUUGAGCCCAUAAUGGUGACCUGGGCAAAGGCAUUUGCACACUGAUCACAUCGUCGACCAAUGACCCCAGGACGACAGCGGCACUGGCCAGUAACAGGAUCACAUGAACCACCAUAUGACCCAACCAAGUAGCAGUCACAAU
Procambarus clarkii (red swamp crayfish) is the source of this 5334-nucleotide non-coding RNA. Lineage: Eukaryota; Metazoa; Arthropoda; Malacostraca; Decapoda; Cambaridae. The record is from RefSeq and is a predicted model, not a curated record.